UACGGGGGGCAAGCGUUGUUCGGAAUUACUGGGCGUAAAGGGCUCGUAGGCGGCCAACUAAGUCAGACGUGAAAUCCCUCGGCUUAACCGGGGAACUGCGUCUGAUACUGGAUGGCUAGAGUUUGGGAGAGGGAUGCGGAAUUCCAGGUGUAGCGGUGAAAUGCGUAGAUAUCUGGAGGAACACCGGUGGCGAAGGCGGCAUCCUGGACCGAUACUGACGCUGAGGAGCGAAAGCCAGGGGAGCCAAAGCGGG
RNAcentral lists this ribosomal RNA (253 nucleotides) under uncultured bacterium. RNAcentral describes it as "partial 16S ribosomal RNA". It matches the Rfam family "Bacterial small subunit ribosomal RNA", at positions 526 to 778 of the family's 1533-position model. The record is from RNAcentral.